CGAAAGCGUGGGGAGCGAACAGGAUUAGAUACCCUGGUAGUCCACGCCGUAAACGAUGCAUACUAGUUUUUUGGGGUAUCGACCCCCUGAGAAACGAAGCUAACGCGAUAAGUAUGCCGCCUGGGAAGUACGGCCGCAAGGCUAAAACUCAAAGGAAUUGACGGGGACCCGCACAAGCGGAGGAUGAUGUGGUUUAAUUUGACGAUACGCGAAGAACCUUACCCAGGCUUGACAUCCUUGGAACCCUGCGGAAACGCGGGGGUGCCCUCGGGAGCCAAGUGACAGGUGCUGCAUGGCCGUCGUCAGCUCGUGUCGUGAGAUGUUGGGUUAAGUCCCGCAACGAGCGCAACCCUUAUCGUAUGUUGUAUUUUUCAUGCGAGACUGCCCGGGCCAACCGGGAGGAAGGUGGGGAUGACGUCAGGUCAGCAUGGCCCUUACGCCUGGGGCUACACACGUCAUACAAUGGCCGGUACAACGCGCUGCGAAACCGCGAGGUGGAGCUAAUCGCAUCAAAACCGGUCUCAGUUCGGAUUGCAGGCUGCAACUCGCCUGCAUGAAGUCGGAUUCGCUAGUAAACGUGGGUCAGCACACCACGUUGAAUACGUUCCCGGGUCUUGUACACACCGCCCGUCACGUCACGGAAGUCGCCAACACCCGAAGUGCCUACUUUGCUAGGCCCUAAGGUGGGGGUGGUAACUGGGAUGAAGUCGUAACAAGGUAGCCGUA
RNAcentral lists this ribosomal RNA (726 nucleotides) under uncultured bacterium. Its description in RNAcentral is "bacterial SSU rRNA". It matches the Rfam family "Bacterial small subunit ribosomal RNA", at positions 754 to 1504 of the family's 1533-position model. The record is from RNAcentral.